UACAGAGGGUGCGAGCGUUACUCGGAAUUACUGGGCGUAAAGCGCGCGUAGGCGGCUUUGCAAGUCGGGUGUGAAAUCCCCAGGCUCAACCUGGGAACUGCAUUCGAGACUGCAUUGCUAGAGUAUGGGAGAGGGAAGUGGAAUUUCCGGUGUAGCGGUGAAAUGCGUAGAUAUCGGAAGGAACAUCAGUGGCGAAAGCGACUUCCUGGACCAAUACUGACGCUCAUGUGCGAAAGCGUGGGUAGCAAACAGG
RNAcentral lists this ribosomal RNA (253 nucleotides) under uncultured bacterium. RNAcentral describes it as "partial 16S ribosomal RNA". It matches the Rfam family "Bacterial small subunit ribosomal RNA", at positions 524 to 776 of the family's 1533-position model. The record is from RNAcentral.